RNAcentral lists this ribosomal RNA (111 nucleotides) under Octodon degus (degu). The record is from RNAcentral. Lineage: Eukaryota; Metazoa; Chordata; Mammalia; Rodentia; Octodontidae.
GUCUAUGGCCAUACCACCCUGAACACACCCGAUCUCGUCUGAUCUCGGAAGCUCAGCAGGGUCGGGCCUGGUUAGUAUUGGAUAGGAGAAAUCCCUAGACCACCAUAUCUA